Pelobates cultripes (western spadefoot toad) is the source of this 100-nucleotide non-coding RNA. NCBI's taxonomy places the organism in Eukaryota, Metazoa, Chordata, Amphibia, Anura, Pelobatidae. The record is from the annotation of a GenBank genome assembly.
GAACGUUACCUGCACUCUGGCCUAAAUCCCUAUGUACUCUUUAGCCUCCAUUUUGUUUAAAUGUACGUAGGGAUUUAGGCCAGAGCGCAGGUAACGUUCU